GGGGAUAUAGCUCAGUUGGUAGAAUCUUGCCUCACAUGCACAAGGCCCUGGGUUCAAUCCCCAGUAACACACA
This 73-nucleotide transfer RNA is filed under the name Marmota monax (woodchuck). RNAcentral describes it as "tRNA.Val". The record is from RNAcentral. Lineage: Eukaryota; Metazoa; Chordata; Mammalia; Rodentia; Sciuridae.